This 112-nucleotide non-coding RNA is filed under the name Citricoccus sp. K5. RNAcentral's name for it is "SAM". The stretch from base 1 to 95 matches the Rfam family "SAM riboswitch aptamer (S box leader)". Rfam says of the family: The SAM riboswitch is found upstream of a number of genes which code for proteins involved in methionine or cysteine biosynthesis in Gram-positive bacteria. The SAM riboswitch acts at the level of transcription termination control. Lineage: Bacteria; Bacillati; Actinomycetota; Actinomycetes; Micrococcales; Micrococcaceae. The record is from RNAcentral.
CAACCAUCCAGAGCGGCCGAGAGAUCUGGCUCCGUGACGCCGCAGCAACCUCCCGCGUUUCUCCGGGAAGGUGCUCAUGCCAGAGCCGAUGGAGCGUGAUUCACGGUGACUG